RNAcentral lists this ribosomal RNA (253 nucleotides) under uncultured bacterium. RNAcentral describes it as "partial 16S ribosomal RNA". It matches the Rfam family "Bacterial small subunit ribosomal RNA", at positions 524 to 776 of the family's 1533-position model. The record is from RNAcentral.
UACGGGGGGGGCAAGCGUUGUUCGGAAUUACUGGGCGUAAAGGGCGCGUAGGCGGUUUGCUAAGUUGGAUGUGAAAACUCUGGGCUUAACCCAGAGCCUGCAUCCAAAACUGGCAAACUUGAGUACUGGAGGGGAAAGCGGAAUUCCUGGUGUAGCGGUGAAAUGCGUAGAUAUCAGGAGGAACACCGGUGGCGAAGGCAGCCCCCUGGGAUAACACUGACGCUCAUGCACGAAAGCGUGGGGAGCAAACAGG